Non-coding RNA from Mycena vulgaris, 99 nucleotides. The record is from the annotation of a GenBank genome assembly. NCBI's taxonomy places the organism in Eukaryota, Fungi, Basidiomycota, Agaricomycetes, Agaricales, Mycenaceae.
UCAGACAUGGUGUAGUUGGAACACGGCCUCUGCUCAUGAAAGUCGACCAGAAGUUGCUAGAAUUAGAUGUAGUCCAGGGUUCGAAUCCUUGUGUCUGAG